Molecule: ribosomal RNA, 426 nt
Filed under: uncultured bacterium
Lineage: Bacteria
Description: partial 16S ribosomal RNA
Rfam family: Bacterial small subunit ribosomal RNA
Source: RNAcentral
GUGAGGAAUUUUCCGCAAUGGGCGAAAGCCUGACGGAGCAAUGCCGCGUGAAGGAUGAAGGCCUAUGGGUUGUAAACUUCUUUUCUUAGAGAAGAAUAUCGACGGUAUCUGAGGAAUAAGCAUCGGCUAACUCUGUGCCAGCAGCCGCGGUAAGACAGAGGAUGCAAGCGUUAUCCGGAAUGAUUGGGCGUAAAGCGUCUGUAGGUGGCUUCAAAAGUCUCCUGUCAAAGAUCAGGGCUUAACCCUGGGCCGGCAGGAGAAACUCUGAGGCUAGAGUUUGGUAGGGGCAGAGGGAAUUCCCGGUGGAGCGGUGAAAUGCGUAGAGAUCGGGAGGAACACCAAAGGCGAAAGCACUCUGCUGGGCCACAACUGACACUGAGAGACGAAAGCGAGGGGAGCAAAAGGGAUUAGAUACCCCAGUAGUCC